Echinostoma caproni is the source of this 82-nucleotide non-coding RNA. NCBI's taxonomy places the organism in Eukaryota, Metazoa, Platyhelminthes, Trematoda, Plagiorchiida, Echinostomatidae. The record is from Rfam.
GGCCUCGUAGCUCAGCUGGUAGAGCAUGCGCGUACAAAGCUUGGGCGGUGUCCAUGCGUGGGUUCGAGUCCCACCGAGGCUA